RNAcentral lists this ribosomal RNA (229 nucleotides) under uncultured bacterium. Its description in RNAcentral is "partial 16S ribosomal RNA". It matches the Rfam family "Bacterial small subunit ribosomal RNA", at positions 568 to 796 of the family's 1533-position model. The record is from RNAcentral.
UGCGUAGGCGGUUUCUUAAGUCAGUGGUGAAAUCCUGCGGCUUAACCGUAGAAUUGCCAUUGAUACUGUUGCCCUUGAGUAUAGUUGAAGUGGGCGGAAUAUGUAAUGUAGCGGUGAAAUGCAUAGAGAUUACAUAGAACACCAAUUGCGAAGGCAGCUCACUAAGCUAUCACUGACGCUGAGGCACGAAAGCGUGGGGAGCGAACAGGAUUAGAUACCCUGGUAGUCC